UACAGAGGUGGCAAGCGUUGUUCGGAAUUACUGGGCGUAAAGGGCGCGUAGGCGGUCUCGUAAGUCCUGUGUGAAAUCCCACGGCUCAACUGGGGAACUGCACAGGAGACUGCUUGGCUUGAGUUCGGGAGAGGGAAGCGGAAUUCCGGGUGUAGCGGUGAAAUGCGUAGAUAUCCGGAGGAACACCGGUGGCGAAGGCGGCUUCCUGGACCGACACUGACGCUGAGGCGCGAAAGCCAGGGGAGCAAACGGG
RNAcentral lists this ribosomal RNA (253 nucleotides) under uncultured bacterium. RNAcentral's name for it is "partial 16S ribosomal RNA". It matches the Rfam family "Bacterial small subunit ribosomal RNA", at positions 524 to 776 of the family's 1533-position model. The record is from RNAcentral.